GACGGGGGGUGCAAGUGUUAUCCGGAAUCACUGGGCGUAAAGCGUCUGCAGGUGGUUUCCUAAGUCCACUGUUAAACCUUGAGGCUCAACCUCAAAUCUGCAUUGGAAACUAGGAGACUUGAGUAUAGUAGGGGUAGAGGGAAUUUCCAGUGGAGCGGUGAAAUGCGUAGAUAUUGGAAAGAACACCGAUGGCGAAGGCACUCUACUGGGCUAUUACUGACACUCAGAGACGAAAGCUAGGGGAGCAAAUGGG
Molecule: ribosomal RNA, 253 nt
Filed under: uncultured bacterium
Lineage: Bacteria
Description: partial 16S ribosomal RNA
Rfam family: Bacterial small subunit ribosomal RNA
Source: RNAcentral